UUAACUGAAACGCCGAAUCCAACAGGUACGGAGUAACAUUUUACGGGGUGAAAAGCGUAAGCGCUAGGUUUAGCCUUAACCCUGUCCCGUUAGCUAACUCCGGAGGCGAGAAAGGCGGACAA
RNAcentral lists this small RNA (122 nucleotides) under Anaerosporomusa subterranea. RNAcentral's name for it is "Anaerosporomusa subterraneum c-di-AMP sequence". It matches the Rfam family "c-di-AMP riboswitch aptamer (ydaO/yuaA leader)". Rfam says of the family: This family represents a conserved RNA structure found upstream of the ydaO and yuaA genes in Bacillus subtilis and related genes in other bacteria. The record is from Rfam by way of RNAcentral. Lineage: Bacteria; Bacillati; Bacillota; Negativicutes; Acetonemataceae.